RNAcentral lists this ribosomal RNA (687 nucleotides) under uncultured Alphaproteobacteria bacterium. RNAcentral describes it as "bacterial SSU rRNA". It matches the Rfam family "Bacterial small subunit ribosomal RNA", at positions 28 to 759 of the family's 1533-position model. The record is from RNAcentral. Lineage: Bacteria; Pseudomonadati; Pseudomonadota; Alphaproteobacteria.
AGCGAACGCUGGCGGCAGGCUUAACACAUGCAAGUCGAACGGGCUUCUUCGGAAGUCAGUGGCAGACGGGUGAGUAACACGUGGGAACGUGCCCUUCGGUUCGGAAUAACUCAGGGAAACUUGAGCUAAUACCGGAUACGCCCUUAUGGGGAAAGGUUUACUGCCGAAGGAUCGGCCCGCGUCUGAUUAGCUUGUUGGUGGGGUAACGGCCUACCAAGGCGACGAUCAGUAGCUGGUCUGAGAGGAUGAUCAGCCACACUGGGACUGAGACACGGCCCAGACUCCUACGGGAGGCAGCAGUGGGGAAUAUUGGACAAUGGGCGCAAGCCUGAUCCAGCCAUGCCGCGUGAGUGAUGAAGGCCUUAGGGUUGUAAAGCUCUUUUGUCCGGGACGAUAAUGACGGUACCGGAAGAAUAAGCCCCGGCUAACUUCGUGCCAGCAGCCGCGGUAAUACGAAGGGGGCUAGCGUUGCUCGGAAUCACUGGGCGUAAAGGGCGCGUAGGCGGCCGAUUAAGUCGGGGGUGAAAGCCUGUGGCUCAACCACAGAAUUGCCUUCGAUACUGGUUGGCUUGAGACCGGAAGAGGACAGCGGAACUGCGAGUGUAGAGGUGAAAUUCGUAGAUAUUCGCAAGAACACCAGUGGCGAAGGCGGCUGUCUGGUCCGGUUCUGACGCUGAGGCGCGAAAG